GGAUCGGUAGUUCAGUUGGUUAGAAUGCCGCCCUGUCACGGCGGAGGUCGCGGGUUCGAGUCCCGUCCGGUCUG
RNAcentral lists this transfer RNA (74 nucleotides) under Sphingobacteriales bacterium. RNAcentral describes it as "tRNA-Asp". It matches the Rfam family "tRNA". Rfam says of the family: Transfer RNA (tRNA) molecules are approximately 80 nucleotides in length. Their secondary structure includes four short double-helical elements and three loops (D, anti-codon, and T loops). The record is from RNAcentral. Lineage: Bacteria; Pseudomonadati; Bacteroidota; Sphingobacteriia; Sphingobacteriales.